ACGGAGGGUGCAAGCGUUGUUCGGAAUCACUGGGCGUAAAGAGCGUGUAGGCGGCUGGCUAAGUCUGGUGUGAAAGCCCGGGGCUCACCCCCGGAAGUGCGCUGGAAACUAGUCAGCUAGAGUAUGGGAGAGGGAAGUGGAAUUCCUGGUGUAGCGGUGAAAUGCGUAGAUAUCAGGAGGAACACCGGCGGCGAAGGCGGCUUCCUGGACCAAUACUGACGCUGAGACGCGAAAGCGUGGGGAGCAAACAGG
RNAcentral lists this ribosomal RNA (252 nucleotides) under uncultured bacterium. RNAcentral describes it as "partial 16S ribosomal RNA". It matches the Rfam family "Bacterial small subunit ribosomal RNA", at positions 525 to 776 of the family's 1533-position model. The record is from RNAcentral.